This 424-nucleotide ribosomal RNA is filed under the name Fusobacteriota bacterium. RNAcentral describes it as "Fusobacteria bacterium partial 16S ribosomal RNA". It matches the Rfam family "Bacterial small subunit ribosomal RNA", at positions 355 to 776 of the family's 1533-position model. Lineage: Bacteria; Fusobacteriati; Fusobacteriota. The record is from RNAcentral.
UGAGGAAUAUUGGUCAAUGGGCGAGAGCCUGAACCAGCCAAGUAGCGUGCAGGAUGACGGCCCUAUGGGUUGUAAACUGCUUUUAUGUGGGGAUAAAGUGCGUGACGUGUCAUGCAUUGCAGGUACCACAUGAAUAAGGACCGGCUAAUUCCGUGCCAGCAGCCGCGGUAAUACGGAAGGUCCGGGCGUUAUCCGGAUUUAUUGGGUUUAAAGGGAGCGUAGGCUGUCUAUUAAGCGUGUUGUGAAAUUUACCGGCUCAACCGGUGGCUUGCAGCGCGAACUGGUCGAGUUGAGUAUGCAGGAAGUAGGCGGAAUUCAUGGUGUAGCGGUGAAAUGCUUAGAUAUCAUGACGAACUCCGAUUGCGCAGGCAGCUUACUGUAGCAUAACUGACGCUGAUGCUCGAAAGUGCGGGUAUCAAACAGG